This is a non-coding RNA of Podarcis lilfordi (Lilford's wall lizard), 74 nucleotides long. NCBI's taxonomy places the organism in Eukaryota, Metazoa, Chordata, Lepidosauria, Squamata, Lacertidae. The record is from the annotation of a GenBank genome assembly.
GGAGGACUGUAGCUCAGUGAUACAGCAUCUGCCUUGCAUGAAGAAGGUCCCAGGUUCAAUCCUUGGCAUCUCCC